UAAAUAUUUAAACUCUAGCAGCGAAAUUCCGCAGAUGGCGUCCAAUUUAUAAUUAUGCGUAGUACGCAUACACGUAUACAUUGAAAUUUCGAUAUUAUUAUUAAUUUUAUUUUAUGAGACGACAUACGUAUCUAACAAAUUAGUAAAUGUAAUGAAAAUCAAGGACUAUGGAGAGAUUGAGGUUUUAUAAACCGCUAUACAAAAUGAAUAAUAUCUACUUGAAUUUGUCAGGUUAAUUCAAUCUAGUUUGCUACAUGUGAUGAAUAGGAAAUGAGAGUUCUGCGUCACUAUAUAGUAUAUAUAAAUCCCUCUCUAUGUGAGGGAUGAUAAGGAAUGAUGAAUUUCCAUCAGUUUUCAAGAAUGAAUUGGAAGGAACACUUGCAAAACAUUUAUUUUGAUUUGAAAAGUCCUAUCAGCUAUGCUGGACCAAGCAAAAUAUACAGAUACUUGAAGAAAGAAGGGAAAUUUAAGGUUGGAAUGCAUAGUAUUCGACAGUGGUUACAGAAUAUUGAUGCCUACAGUCUGCAGCGCCCAUUACGUUACAAAUUUAAAACAAGAAAGGUAAUUUCACAAGGACUAGACGCUCUUUGGGAUGUUGAUUUAGCUGAUGUUUCCAAUUUGGCAAAGGAGAAUAACGAGACCCGUUAUUUGUUUAUAACUAUCGACACACUAUCUCGAUACUUGUGGGUAGUUCCUUUGAAAAACAAACUUCACGGAUCAAUCAUAGAAGGUUUCAAACAGAUAUUUAAAACAGGGAGAAAACCUAAAGAAGUGAGAUCCGAUCCUGGAAGUGAAUGGAAAAACAGAUGGGUUAAGUCAUUUCUCAACAAGAAAGGUGUGCAUCAUUAUGUUACACAUAACAUCACUCAUGCGAACUAUCCGGAGAGAGUCACACGCUCGCUGAAGGCUUUGAUGUAUCGAUAUUUUACGCAUGAACGGACUUACAAGUAUUUGAAAAUACUAAAACAAAUAGUAAAUAACUAUAAUUCAAGGUCCCAUAGUGCUUUGAAAGGGAAAUCACCAAAUCAGAUUACAAAAGAAAACGAAUCCAUCAUAUGGAAACGUUUGUAUAUCGACUCAUUGAAAACAAUACCAGUUAAAAAGGAAAAGAAACUGGUUAAACCAUUCAAGCUUAAACUGGGUGACUUUGUCAGAAUCUCCAACAACAGACGAACAUUUCAACGUGAUUAUGAACAAAAAUGGACAGAGGAAGUCUUUGUGAUAAAGAAUCGUUAUCUACGUCAAGGGAUUCCAAUCUAUAAGAUCACUGAUUAUGACGGGAACCCCAUUAAAGGAUCUUAUUAUGGAAGUGAACUACAGAAAGUUAAAAAGAGCAGGGAUGAUUUAUUCAAAGUGGAGAAAGUGUUAAAACGUCGCAAACGAAAUGGAAUAUCAGAAGUGCUUGUGAAAUGGCUUGGUUAUCCAAACAAAUUUAAUAGUUGGAUCAAGGAGACUGACAUUCAAGAAUUACAGUGAUAUAUAAACAGCCUUGAAUACUCUCUUUAAUCAUUUUAACGUAGAACACCAAACAGUCAACAUCGUAAAUUAUGACGUUCCAUUGUCAUAUUUGUGGAAGCAAGUAUGUUUGGGCACAUGACUUGAAUAGACAUGUAAAAAAUAAACAUCCAGAAUCAGUAGAAUUAACUUUUAAGGGCACACAACAACAGCAGGAAUAUAAUAAGUAUCAUCAUCAUCAUCAUCAGCAGCAGCAGCAGGAAUAUAAUAAGUAUCAGCAGCAGCUGCAGGAAUAUAAUAAGUAUCAUCAUCAGCAGCAGCAGGAAUAUAAUAAGUAUCAGCAGCAGCAGGAAUAUAAUGACUACCAGCCCCAGCAACACAACGAUAUUAGUGUUCAGAGGAGGGAGGAAUAUCAUGACUUACAGCAGCAGCAGCAGCAGCAGCAAGAAUCCAGUCAUGUCCUAGAUCAACAGCAAAAACAACAGGAAAUGUUCAGUUUUCAACAUCCCUUUACCUGCAUUGUUUCUGGACCAACGUCUUGUGGUAAAACAUUUUUUAUGAAGCAGUUACUACAACAGGUUAAAGAUAAAAUCCAGCCACCACCCCAAAGAAUUAUUUGGCUAUACAAGAGAUGGCAACCAUUGUACGAUAUUAUUCAAAAUACGGUGCUUCCGAGGGUCGAGUUCAUGAAGGGUGUACCUUUAAACCUUGAAAAAGAUGAUUUCAUCAAUCCUCGAGUGAGAAAUAUUAUCAUUCUCGAUGACAUGGCAGCAGAGGCAUCAAAAGAUCUUAGAGUUACGGAUCUUUUCACGGAAGGUAGCCACCACCGAAACCUCUCAGUGAUUUUGCUGAAUCAAAAUUUGUAUUUCAGUAAAGAUCCUACUCAAAGAAGAAAUUGUCACUACUUGGUAUUGUUUAACACUCCCGUUGACAAACAGCCAAUUAUGACUUUAUCAAGACAGAUGUUUCGAAACAGCCCUCGGGAACUCGGCUGACAUUUCGAAGAAGCAGUCAGCGGACCUUAUGGUUACUUACUUGUUGACUUAAAACCAACAACACCUGAAAUAUUGCGCAGAGAUAUAUUUGGUAUAAAAAGGAAGAUUCAGAGAGAUAUUGAUCAUUUUAAAGGAAACACUUGUCUAGUACAGUCGCAUGUAAAUGACACUGCAGAUAAUUCAGAAAACGUAUCUGAGUUGAACACGAGCGGAUUAGCGAAAGACCAAGAUAAUAUUUCAAAUAAAAUGCCUUCUUGCGAUGACUGUGGACUGGUCUUUGAAAACAUUCAUGACCUACAAAAACAUUGAAGGAAUGGUGUCCAGAUCAACAAUCUUUAAAACACAAAUUACUGAAUGAGGAGAACAUAUCCAGUAUAAGAAUGAAAUAUGAUCAUGAAGAUACCGAUGGCACUUUCUCAAGCACUGAUUAAGAGAGUGAUGUUUUUAUGGAAAUAGCUAAAUGGUCCAGACAACAAAAUGAAGAUAUGCGUUAUGAAAAGGUGGACAAAUAUGAGCAAGAAGGACUUCCCAGUGAUGAAGCUAUUGAAAAAGCAAAUAAAAAAAACUGCUAAAUGAGGAUCUACACGAGUUUAUGUAUAGAUACUUAACAAUAAUUUCCAACAUCUUGAAGUUGAGUGGUGGCUAUAUUCGCAGUAAAAUCAUGAAAACGGUUGAGAAAUACAUGGAACGUAACAUUGAUCAGCAGCGAGCCAUUCAACUAACAUUGAUCAAAUACAAACAUUAUUUUGAAGACGACAUUCCCUGUUUGAUACUUGUCUUUGUUUUUUUUCUGGAACCCGAGGAAGAAUGUGAAGAGGACAGUAACGAAGAUAAUGACGACAGCGAAGAAGAAACUGAUAAUGAAGACUCUGAAUAGACAUGUUACUGGAGUGUUUCAAUAUGUGUACAUAUUUUAUGCAUAGAACAGCUGCUACUUUUUUCUAUGGAUAGAUACAUUUGUGAUUCCAGCAUAACAGUUUUCAUGUAUGAUAUAUAUAU
Molecule: RNA transcript, 3449 nt
Organism: Mercenaria mercenaria
Lineage: Eukaryota; Metazoa; Mollusca; Bivalvia; Venerida; Veneridae
Gene name: UPF0746 protein DDB_G0281095-like
Exons: 2
Source: RefSeq, a predicted model, not a curated record